This 249-nucleotide ribosomal RNA is filed under the name uncultured organism. Its description in RNAcentral is "partial 16S ribosomal RNA". It matches the Rfam family "Bacterial small subunit ribosomal RNA", at positions 355 to 619 of the family's 1533-position model. The record is from RNAcentral.
UGGGGAAUUUUCCGCAAUGGGCGAAAGCCUGACGGAGCAACGCCGCGUGAGGGAUGAAGGCCUCUGGGCUGUAAACCUCUUUUCUCAAGGAAGAAGACCUGACGGUACUUGAGGAAUAAGCCACGGCUAAUUCCGUGCCAGCAGCCGCGGUGACACGUAGGCACCAAGCGUUAUCCGGAUUUAUUGGGCGUAAAGAGCUCGUAGGCGGUUCGGUAAGUCGGGUGUAAAAACUCUGGGCUCAACCCAGAG